GGGGAAGCAAGCCAGUAAAGAACAUCCCUCCAUGGCCUCUGCAUCAGCUCCUGCUCCCUGACCUGCUUGAGUUCCAGUCCUGACUUCCUUGGUGAUGAACAGCAAUGUGGAAGUGUGACAGAUCCUGGUCCCUGGAAGGCUGCUAGCCAGAGACUCAAAGACAACGCCUUCAUAGGAUGCUGUGGGUACUCAUGAGAGAAGGCUCUCCCAGACAGCAUGGCCUGCACAAACUCUGGAUUCUGACAUUGCAUUCGUACAAACAAACGUGCGUUUUGAUCAAUGAAUUAUUUUAAGAUGAAGAUUUCAAGUUUCUGGGCUUUGAGGAAACAUGUUAGUUUUAAUUUCCAUGGUUACCAAGCUUAAAAAGUAUAUGAUCUCUAAUUAUUAUAAAUUUCAAAACGAAGGCCUUAUUUGGUGUACCACUGUAAUCAGGAAAAUGUGAUUUCACUCUGUCUAUGCUUUCCGUCACACUUUCAAAUAACUUCCAGUGAAACAAGGCUGCAAAUAAAACUGUACAAUAUUGGUUAAA
Molecule: long non-coding RNA, 529 nt
Filed under: Mus musculus (house mouse)
Lineage: Eukaryota; Metazoa; Chordata; Mammalia; Rodentia; Muridae
Description: predicted gene, 48722
Source: RNAcentral